AUCUUCCCGAAGAUGCAGCAGCAAAGCGGUCAGUUUUUAAAGUGAAAAUUUCAGUCACAGAAACACGUCUGCAAUUUCUUAAGGUGCUGUUGUGUAACUUGCUUCCAAAAAUGUCAUGGCUCCGAAAAAGAGACCACCUCCGAGCACAGCUGGCAUUGCUGCAAAAUAUAUAUUAGAAAAUUAUGCCGAUCUUCCUCAUCAUCAGCCUCCUGCUCUUAAGAAUGGACAUGUUUUACAUAUUUUCUUAAACUGUGACCAACAUGCUGAAAGAACAAUUAGUGAAGUCAAAUCUGUGUUGGGCAUUCCAUGCAUCAUUCAGCGAUGGCAGAUAAAUCAAUUGGUUGAUCAGACAAUUAAAAAAUUCCCCAACCUAUCUCGGGAAAGUGAUCGAACGAAGUAUGAACUUGUUUGUAGUGAACAGUUCACAAAGUAUUUUCUUUUAACUGAAGUCGCACCAUCAUCCCCUGCUGAAGAGGAGACACCAGUUGCAAGUACUUCUGCUUCCAUUGAACCAUCUACAUCUGACCUGUCUGGUAGUAAUGUUUUACCUGUUGAUUUAUGUUCUUUUGUUUCACCAAUUCCAUCUACUUCUACAGCCAGUCCUAGUGACACUAUUACACGUUCAUCCAAAAGAUAUGUUUUAACACCAAGGUGUAA
Molecule: non-coding RNA, 657 nt
Organism: Paramormyrops kingsleyae
Lineage: Eukaryota; Metazoa; Chordata; Actinopteri; Osteoglossiformes; Mormyridae
Source: RefSeq, a predicted model, not a curated record